This 205-nucleotide ribosomal RNA is filed under the name uncultured bacterium. RNAcentral describes it as "partial 16S ribosomal RNA". It matches the Rfam family "Bacterial small subunit ribosomal RNA", at positions 570 to 774 of the family's 1533-position model. The record is from RNAcentral.
UCUAGGCGGGGAAUUAAGUUAGGUGUGAAAUCCAUGGGCUCAACUCGUGAAUUGCAUCUAAAACUGGUUCUCUUGAGUCCGGGAGAGGAGAGCAGAAUUCCUGGUGUAGCGGUGAAAUGCGUAGAUAUCAGGAGGAAUACCAGUGGCGAAGGCGGCUCUCUGGCCUAGGACUGACGCUGAAGCGCGAAAGCGUGGGGAGCGAACG